UAGUGGCGAACGGGUGAGUAACACGUGGGCAAUCUGCCCUGCACUCUGGGACAAGCCCUGGAAACGGGGUCUAAUACCGGAUACGAGCCUCCCGGGCAUCUGGGAGGUUGGAAAGCUCCGCUCGGUGCAGGAUGAGCCCGCGGCCUAUCAGCUUGUUGGUGAGGUAACGGCUCACCAAGGCGACGACGGGUAGCCGGCCUGAGAGGGCGACCGGCCACACUGGGACUGAGACACGGCCCAGACUCCUACGGGAGGCAGCAGUGGGGAAUAUUGCACAAUGGGCGAAAGCCUGAUGCAGCGACGCCGCGUGAGGGAUGACGGCCUUCGGGUUGUAAACCUCUUUCAGCAGGGAAGAAGCGAAAGUGACGGUACCUGCAGAAGAAGCGCCGGCUAACUACGUGCCAGCAGCCGCGGUAAUACGUAGGGCGCAAGCGUUGUCCGGAAUUAUUGGGCGUAAAGAGCUCGUAGGCGGCUUGUCGCGUCGAUUGUGAAAGCCCGGGGCUUAACUCCGGGUCUGCAGUCGAUACGGGCAGGCUAGAGUGUGGUAGGGGAGAUCGGAAUUCCU
RNAcentral lists this ribosomal RNA (565 nucleotides) under Streptomyces sp. 428C08. RNAcentral describes it as "bacterial SSU rRNA". It matches the Rfam family "Bacterial small subunit ribosomal RNA", at positions 93 to 671 of the family's 1533-position model. The record is from RNAcentral. Lineage: Bacteria; Bacillati; Actinomycetota; Actinomycetes; Kitasatosporales; Streptomycetaceae.